AUACAAAAUUGCAAACUCCCUAAACCAUUGUGGACGCUACCUUCAAACGUUGCUUCGGCGGGCGGCCCGCUCCCCUGGAAAGCCCCUGUGGCCGCCCGGGGCUGCAGGCCCCCCGGCCCCCCCUCGCGGGGGCGCCCGCCGGAGGAUGCCCAACUCUUGAUAAUUUUAGGCCUCUCUGAGUCUUCUGUACUGAAUAAGUCAAAACUUUCAACAACGGAUCUCUUGGUUCUGGCAUCGAUGAAGAACGCAGCGAAAUGCGAUAAGUAAUGUGAAUUGCAGAAUUCAGUGAAUCAUCGAAUCUUUGAACGCACAUUGCGCCCGCCAGUAUUCUGGCGGGCAUGCCUGUUCGAGCGUCAUUUCAACCAUCAAGCCCCAGGCUUGUGUUGGGGACCUGCGGCUGCCCGCAGGCCCUGAAAACCAGUGGCGGGCUCGCUGUCACCCCGAGCGUAGUAGCAAUCACCUCGCUCAGGGCGUGCCGCGGGCGCCGGCCGUUAAAGCUGCCUUCGCGCAACACCCAAGGUUGACCUCGGAUCAGGUAGGAAGACCCGCUGAACUUAAGCAUAUCAAUAAGCGGAGGAAAAGAAACCAACAGGGAUUGCCCUAGUAACGGCGAGUGAAGCGGCAACAGCUCAAAUUUGAAAUCUGGCCUCGGCCCGAGUUGUAAUUUGCAGAGGAAGCUUUAGGCGCGGCACCUUCUGAGUCCCCUGGAACGGGGCGCCAUAGGGGUGAGAGCCCCGUAUAGUUGGAUGCCUAGCUGUGUAAAGCUCCUUCGCGGUCGGUAGUUGGGAAUGCUGCUCAAAAUGGGAGGUAAAUUUCUUCUAAAGCUAAAUACCGGCCAGGCCGUAG
This 846-nucleotide ribosomal RNA is filed under the name Chaetomium siamense. Its description in RNAcentral is "eukaryotic LSU rRNA". The stretch from base 522 to 846 matches the Rfam family "Eukaryotic large subunit ribosomal RNA", at positions 1 to 340 of the family's 3401-position model. The record is from RNAcentral. Lineage: Eukaryota; Fungi; Ascomycota; Sordariomycetes; Sordariales; Chaetomiaceae.